GCCCUGGUAGCACAAUGGUUAAAGUGCUUGGCUGCUAACCAAAGGGCUGGUGGUUCAAAUCCACUCUAUGGCU
This 73-nucleotide transfer RNA is filed under the name Loxodonta africana (African savanna elephant). It matches the Rfam family "tRNA". From Rfam's summary of the family: Transfer RNA (tRNA) molecules are approximately 80 nucleotides in length. Their secondary structure includes four short double-helical elements and three loops (D, anti-codon, and T loops). Further hydrogen bonds mediate the characteristic L-shaped molecular structure. tRNAs have two regions of fundamental functional importance: the anti-codon, which is responsible for specific mRNA codon recognition, and the 3' end, to which the tRNAs corresponding amino acid is attached (by aminoacyl-tRNA synthetases). tRNAs cope with the degeneracy of the genetic code in two manners: having more than one tRNA (with a specific anti-codon) for a particular amino acid; and 'wobble' base-pairing, i.e. permitting non-standard base-pairing at the 3rd anti-codon position. The record is from Rfam by way of RNAcentral. Lineage: Eukaryota; Metazoa; Chordata; Mammalia; Proboscidea; Elephantidae.